Molecule: ribosomal RNA, 301 nt
Filed under: uncultured bacterium
Lineage: Bacteria
Description: partial 16S ribosomal RNA
Rfam family: Bacterial small subunit ribosomal RNA
Source: RNAcentral
CAGCAGCCGCGGUAAUACGAGGGGAGCUAGCGUUGUUCGGAAUUACUGGGCGUAAAGCGCGCGUAGGCGGCUUUUUAAGUCAGAGGUGAAAGCCCGGGGCUCAACCCCGGAAUUGCCUUUAAAACUGGAAAGCUAGAAUCUUGGAGAGGUCAGUGGAAUUCCGAGUGUAGAGGUGAAAUUCGUAGAUAUUCGGAAGAACACCAGUGGCGAAGGCGACUGACUGGACAAGUAUUGACGCUGAGGUGCGAAAGCGUGGGGAGCAAACAGGAUUAGAUACCCGCGUAGUCCCUGUCUCUUAUAC